Molecule: long non-coding RNA, 527 nt
Filed under: Arabidopsis lyrata
Lineage: Eukaryota; Viridiplantae; Streptophyta; Magnoliopsida; Brassicales; Brassicaceae
Description: long non-coding RNA (ALYR_LNC000451)
Source: RNAcentral
AUUUUAACAUAAAAAUUCAAUGAAACAAGAACAAACCACGUUAAAGGAAAAACAAAAUACAAAGCAAGCAAGAUCGGAUUCUUGAUAUGAGCCUACUUAAUAUUCUUCUUAGGCUUCUACUACAAAUGAGAUAACAACAAAAUCAUGGUUGUUAUGAUUUUCCACACUCUUGGACCUCUAAUCUUCGAAACUUCUUUGACAUCAUCAACAUAUUCAGCUUCAACCUGCAACAAACUAACACUUCAAUGUUAAUCCUACUGUCUAUAGAAAAAUCAAACCUCUUUGGUUGCUCCAACAACACAUUCACAUUCAGGUCAUCUCCCCAAAAAUACGAAUUCCAUGUGUGAACCUGUGAUAUCACACAUUUAGUCAAAUAUUGUAUUACCAAAGCCCCCACGAAGCCACCUAUCCAAAGUAACAUUUUUUUUACUAUAAUUAGUUAUACUGAAAUCUAUAAAGUAAAGGUGAGUAUCAGAGAGUACAACACACCUCAUACUUGUAUCUUGCUCCGGAUUGCAUAUCAGUCU